This 164-nucleotide ribosomal RNA is filed under the name Persicaria japonica. RNAcentral's name for it is "5.8S ribosomal RNA". It matches the Rfam family "5.8S ribosomal RNA". Rfam says of the family: 5.8S ribosomal RNA (5.8S rRNA) is a component of the large subunit of the eukaryotic ribosome. It is transcribed by RNA polymerase I as part of the 45S precursor that also contains 18S and 28S rRNA. Functionally, it is thought that 5.8S rRNA may be involved in ribosome translocation. Lineage: Eukaryota; Viridiplantae; Streptophyta; Magnoliopsida; Caryophyllales; Polygonaceae. The record is from RNAcentral.
AGAACGACUCUCGGCAACGGAUAUCUCGGCUCUCGCAUCGAUGAAGAACGUAGCGAAAUGCGAUACUUGGUGUGAAUUGCAGAAUCCCGUGAACCAUCGAGUCUUUGAACGCAAGUUGCGCCCGAAGCCUUCGGGCCAAGGGCACGUCUGCCUGGGCGUCACGC